AGGAAGAAACUCCUCCUGGACCUCGACUCUGGGAGGAGCCCCAGCGCCUGGACCCCCAGAAGACUCAGGAUGACCAGGAGGAGCCCAGGGGUAUCAGAAUAAGGAGGAAGAGGAGCCCAGUGGUGCCACAACAAUGAAGGGGAGCCCAGGGGUGUCAGAACCCCCAAACAAGGUGAGGAAGGGGGAGAGAGAGCCUGUGGACAACAUGCCUGUGUUUCUCCAGGACGGGUUACCAGAACAGCAGCUCUGGACCAGAGCAGUCAGGACUCUGUGGAGCACAGGCUGCCUUCAGGCAUGUUUAUUCCCAACAGGAGCCAGGUCAGACCCUGUACCACGCAGGAGAGGGCACACUCGACCGGUCAGCACAGGAGGGGACAGGGUACCCCAUCAGCACUGAAGGACACGAGGCGCCAGGCAGGUGAGUGCAGACCAGGUGAGUCUCUCCUUCACUGGCUGUCCCUCGCAGGCGACGCUGGUCUUGCAUGAUCGGGGCUGAUCGGACCAAUCUGGGAUCCACAGACUCUGAGGGGACAGAGUAGGAGUCGUCUCGGGGAGACAUCCAGGGUGUCCCGAUCUCCUGCCUGCUGGAGCCUGUGAGGAUGACUGACGAAGAGCUGCAGAUCCUAGUCAGUGUGCUGUUGACCCUACACUCUCGUACCCGAGUCCAACACCAACCUCCAGCCUGAGCACAAGGUCAGGUGAGCGCUGGGCUGAACACGGAUGACGAGGCACAGAGAGACUGCAGAGCCAGACUGCUGCCCUCAGACACACGGACCAGCUGUCACAACUGUCCAGCCUA
This is a non-coding RNA of Lepisosteus oculatus (spotted gar), 799 nucleotides long. Lineage: Eukaryota; Metazoa; Chordata; Actinopteri; Semionotiformes; Lepisosteidae. The record is from RefSeq and is a predicted model, not a curated record.